AAUCUCAUUAAAAUGAAUGAGGAGGGUGUUUGUGUUUUUUUUUUUGUUUUGUUUUUUUAGUUUUUUAUGACAGAGCAGUAAUGUCUGUCUGAACACAGCAUUAGACCUUUUGACUCCAUCAACACUUUGGCAUAAAACUUCACAGGCUAGGUGAGAAGGUAGUAAACAUCUCUGUGUUCUUUGCAGUUCACUGAAAACAUGUUCCAGAAUUUCUGGGCUCUGAAGUUUUUAAUAUUCCAACAUCACCAUUUAGAGCUGCCAGCGGUGCCUAGUGCUGCUUUCUGUUGGGUGUUUGGGGCAUUCAGUCUUUCUUCUCAGCCUCUAUUAUUGAUAAAAGGUUUGCUUGAAUGUUGUUUUCCUCCACCCUGUUUCUGAUUUAAGUUUGCAUUGCUGGAAAGACACGGUGAGAGUCAAGUCAAGGUCAGACAGGAAGAAAGAAAAGAACAACUCAACCUUCACUCAAGAAAAUGUCCCAAGAUUCAUAGUACAACUCCUACACUAUUGCGGCUUGGGCUGACAAAGGUGAGCAUGAGGAGAGAUGGGAGUGCAGUGUGAUGACAGCGGUGAGCACAAAUGUAUGAUGUACAGAAAGUGCUUCAGACUGAAAUCGAUGGGAAUAUGGAAAGAAAUACAGUUUGACUUAUGUAAGUAAAAAGACAAAGCAAUG
Acanthopagrus latus (yellowfin seabream) is the source of this 667-nucleotide long non-coding RNA. RefSeq lists it as uncharacterized. The transcript has 2 exons. The record is from RefSeq and is a predicted model, not a curated record. NCBI's taxonomy places the organism in Eukaryota, Metazoa, Chordata, Actinopteri, Spariformes, Sparidae.